ACUUAAAUUGAAGAGUUUGAUCAUGGCUCAGAUUGAACGCUGGCGGCAGGCCUAACACAUGCAAGUCGAGCGGUAGCACAGAGAGCUUGCUCUCGGGUGACGAGCGGCGGACGGGUGAGUAAUGUCUGGGAAACUGCCUGAUGGAGGGGGANUAACUACUGGAAACGGUAGCUAAUACCGCAUAACGUCGCAAGACCAAAGUGGGGGACCUUCGGGCCUCAUGCCAUCAGAUGUGCCCAGAUGGGAUUAGCUAGUAGGUGGGGUAACGGCUCACCUAGGCGACGAUCCCUAGCUGGUCUGAGAGGAUGACCAGCCACACUGGAACUGAGACANCGGUCCAGACUCCUACGGGAGGCAGCAGUGGGGAAUAUUGCACAAUGGGCGCAAGCCNUGAUGCAGCCAUGCCGCGUGUGUGAAGAAGGCCUUCGGGUUGUAAAGCACUUUCAGCGGGGAGGAAGGCGUUAAGGUUAAUAACCUUGGCGAUUGACGUUACCCGCAGAAGAAGCACCGGCUAACUCCGUGCCAGCAGCCGCGGUAAUACGGAGGGUGCAAGCGUUAAUCNGGAAUUACUGGGCGUAAAGCGCACGCAGGCGGUCUGUCAAGUCGGAUGUGAAAUCCCCGGGCUCAACCUGGGAACUGCAUUCGAAACUGGCAGGCNUAGAGUCUUGUAGAGGGGGGUAGNAAUUCCAGGUGUAGCGGUGAAAUGCGUAGAGAUCUGGAGGAAUACCGGUGGCGAAGGCGGCCCCCUGGACAAAGACUGACGCUCAGGUGCGAAAGCGUGGGGAGCAAACAGGAUUAGAUACCCUGGUAGUCCACGCCGUAAACGAUGUCGAUUUGGAGGUUGUGCCCUUGAGGCGUGGCUUCCNGGAGCUAACGCGUUAAAUCGACCGCCUGGGGAGUACGGCCGCAAGGUUAAAACUCAAAUGAAUUGACGGGGGCCCGCACAAGCGGUGGAGCAUGUGGUUUAAUUCGAUGCAACGCGAAGAACCUUACCUGGUCUUGACAUCCACAGAACUUAGCAGAGAUGCUUUGGUGCCUUCGGGAACUGUGAGACAGGUGCUGCAUGGCUGUCGUCAGCUCGUGUUGUGAAAUGUUGGGUUAAGUCCCGCAACGAGCGCAACCCUUAUCCUUUGUUGCCAGCGGUCCGGCCGGGAACUCAAAGGAGACUGCCAGUGAUAAACUGGAGGAAGGUGGGGAUGACGUCAAGUCAUCAUGGCCCUUACGACCNAGGGCUACACACGUGCUACAAUGGCAUAUACAAAGAGAAGCGACCUCGCGAGAGNCAAGCGGACCUCAUAAAGUAUGUCGUAGUCCGGAUUGGAGUCUGCAACUCGACUCCAUGAAGUCGGAAUCGCUAGUAAUCGUAGAUNCAGAAUGCUACGGUGAAUACGUUCCCGGGCCUUGUACACACCGCCCGUCACACCAUGGGAGUGGGUUGCNNAAAAGAAGUAGGUAGCUUAACCUUCGGGAGGGCGCUUACCACUUUGUGAUUCAUGACUGGGGUGAAGUCGUAACAAGGUAACCGUAGGGGAACCUGCGGUUGGAUCACCUCCUUACCUUAAAGAA
RNAcentral lists this ribosomal RNA (1566 nucleotides) under Klebsiella pneumoniae. RNAcentral's name for it is "bacterial SSU rRNA". It matches the Rfam family "Bacterial small subunit ribosomal RNA". The record is from RNAcentral. Lineage: Bacteria; Pseudomonadati; Pseudomonadota; Gammaproteobacteria; Enterobacterales; Enterobacteriaceae.